This 450-nucleotide ribosomal RNA is filed under the name uncultured organism. Its description in RNAcentral is "partial 16S ribosomal RNA". It matches the Rfam family "Bacterial small subunit ribosomal RNA", at positions 334 to 800 of the family's 1533-position model. The record is from RNAcentral.
CACUCCUACGGGAGGCAGCAGUGGGGAAUAUUGGACAAUGGGCGCAAGCCUGAUCCAGCCAUGCCGCGUGAGUGAUGAAGGCCCUAGGGUUGUAAAGCUCUUUCACCGGAGAAGAUAAUGACGGUAUCCGGAGAAGAAGCCCCGGCUAACUUCGUGCCAGCAGCCGCGGUAAUACGAAGGGGGCUAGCGUUGUUCGGAAUUACUGGGCGUAAAGCGCACGUAGGCGGAUCGAUCAGUCAGGGGUGAAAUCCCAGGGCUCAACCCUGGAACUGCCUUUGAUACUGUCGAUCUGGAGUAUGGAAGAGGUGAGUGGAAUUCCGAGUGUAGAGGUGAAAUUCGUAGAUAUUCGGAGGAACACCAGUGGCGAAGGCGGCUCACUGGUCCAUUACUGACGCUGAGGUGCGAAAGCGUGGGGAGCAAACAGGAUUAGAAACCCGGGUAGUCCCAUGA